AGCCUCGAGUUCUAGCACUGCUCUAGUGUUGUUUUGUGAUCUUGUAGAUGACUUGAAAACUUGAAUCAUUCAUGUUGAUUGUUGAGAUUGAGUUUGAGUUGAAGUUGAAAUCAUAAUUCAACAUGUCUUCCAGUGUUUUUGUUUGUGAUUAGUUUUUGUGUAAAAAUAACUUCAAUUUUAGAAUAUUAUUACCAUGAGUAGUUGGAAGCCAGUGAGUGAUGAAAAUAGUUAUGGAAUAGUCAUUUACAAUUUCAUCUGUCCAGAAGAUUAUAAGCUAAAUUUAACAGUAGGAGAUGCCAUCCAUGUGUUGGAGGAAGAAGCCAGCUGGUACUACGGAUAUGUUGUCAGUAACAGAGAUGUUAAGGGUAUAUUUCCCAAAAGCUACGUACACAUGAGACCUUGCGAAAAGGUUGAUGCCUUUGGUCCAGUCUUAAAAGAGCCGUCCAUUACGAGAGAAAUAACUCUGGUACUCCGAGAAUGGGGGAUUCACUGGAAAAAUCUCUAUGUGAAUCACAACAGAAAUUUCGAACAAAUGAAAACACAAAUCUAUGACCUGCUAUCACAUCGAAGUAAAAUCAUUAGCGGCACACUACCCGUGGACGAAUUAAAGAGGGUGAUAAAGCAAGCGGUGGAAGAAAUAGACAUAGGAAAUAAAAUUUUAGGUUUAGAUUUAUUAGUAAGAGACAAAUGUGGCAAUUUUAUGAAUCCUAAAGAAAUUAGUACACUUCAACUGUAUUACCUGCAUAAAAGUGCGACACAGAGAAUGAAUAAUAGAUCGAAGAAAGAGGUUAAAGAUGUUCAGCCUAAAACGGCAAUCCAACAAUAUUCGAAUAUAUUUCUAGUUGCUGUAAGAAAUUUUACGUUCAAAAUGACUGAAGAUGCGGAGUUACUGAUGACUUUAUACGAUGGAAAAGAGUUUAAAUCUUUUACAGAGAACUAUGUUGUGCGAUGGACGAAGGAAGGGCUGAUGAGUGAUUUGGACCAAAUGCAUAAUUUAAGGGUUAUGUUUACGGAUUUAGGUAAAAGAGACUUGGAACGGGAGAAAAUUUACCUUGUGUGUCUUGUGAUAAGGAUAGGCGCAAUGGACACCAAAGAGUUGGACCAUAGACGGAGUUCAGUUAGUACAAAUAACAAGAAAAAUUACAAUGAAAAUAUGAGGCGACCAUGUGGAGUAGCGGCUUUCGAUAUAACGACGUUUAUGAACGGCAGACGGGAAACGGACCUGGAACAAGAAUAUGCCAUACCUUUCAUUAGUUGUGAAAAAGAUAAUCUAGAACAAACUUUAAGGAAAACAAUAACCAAAGAAAAGCCAGAACCCAAAAACCAUUCUUUAUUCGUGAGCAUGAAGCUUUUAAGAGGAGAUUUAAAGCAGGUCCGAGAGGAAAAUCCACAUCUAGUUUUGGGCAAUGUGUCCGUAGCAAGGAAAAUGGGUUUCCCCGAGGUAAUACUUCCAGGCGAUGUUAGAAACGAUUUGUAUCUAACAAUAUUGAGUGGAGUAUUCAGUAAAGGGAAUAAGAAAAGCGAUAAAAACGUCGAAGUAAUUGUUAGAGUAUGUAAUCACAAAGGACAACCCAUACCGGGAGUGAUAAGUAUUGGUGGCGGAGUAUCGUUGAUAGACGAGUACAGAUCUGUUAUAUACUAUCACGAAGACAAGCCUCAAUGGCACGAAACUUUCAAAGUAGCUAUACCCAUAGAGGAGUUCAAAACUAGUCACUUGAAGUUUAUAUUCAAGCACAGAUCAUCAAACGAAGCUAAAGACAAGAGCGAGAAACCUUUCGGCAUGUGUUACGUUAAGCUGAUGGAAGACGACGGUACGACACUCAAAGACUCCAAACACAAUCUAAUAGUCUAUAAAUUGGACCAUAAAAAAUUCGACGAGAAUAAUUUGGACUAUUUUUUGUUGCCUUCAAAGUAUGAGGAUGUUAAAGAUCAUCAGAAGGACUCGACCCAAGUGCCUGGUUUGAGCAUGUCUACCAAGGAUUCUUUUAGCAUAUCUAGUAAUAUUUGUUCGACAAAAUUGACCCAAAAUGUAAAAUUACUUGGUCUUCUAAAUUGGGCUUCCCACAAAGAAUCGCUCCUAGAAUCUCUUAAAGCUUUGAAAGAGGUUGACGGCGAGGAAGUGGUAAAGUUCCUGCAAGACAUACUCGAUGCCUUAUUUAAUAUCCUAAUGGAUAACCCAGAGACUGAUACUUAUGAUAGUCUAGUUUUUGAAAGUUUAUUGGAAAUAAUUAGUUUAGUAAGCAACGACUGGAAAUAUCAACAUUUUGAACCCGUCCUGGAUUUAUACAUCAAAGAAAGUUUUAGUGCGACGUUAGCCUACAAAAAAUUAAUAUCAGUAUUAAAAUCAAUAGUGGGAAAAGCUAGUGAUGACUCAUUAGUUUCAAACAGUCUGAUCUUCAAAACCAUGAAGUGCCUACAGUAUUUUAUGAAGUUCAUUGCCAGGAGUAGAAUUCUAUAUAAAGAACUUUACCCGGAAUAUGACUCCGAGGACGAUUUCGAAGAAAGCAUGCGAGAUCUCUUACAAAACAUUAUCUUCAUGAUGUCUUCUAGUAUAGAAUCCUUGAUUCGGGAACAAGGAGCUUGCCUUAAGUAUUUGCCAAGUAGUAUACCAGAUAUGUUGUUAAUUUUUGACCCUAAAGAAUUAAGUACAAUUUUAUACGAUAUGUUAAACAAUAUGCCAGUGGGUCGUCUCACCAAACAAAAGAUGAUGACCAUCAACGAGAUCAUCCACAGUAAGCUAUUUUUAUAUCCGGAAUGCCGGAAAAUCUUGCUGCCAAUAAUAACUGACCAAGUAAAAACGUUAUUUACGACCAAGGAGGAGGGUGUAACGAGACAAGACGGAAGGAGGCAAAACAGAUCGGUGGCCAAGGUGGCUCAGCUGCUUGGUACAACGGAACAUUGCGUCAACCAACAUGUCGGAUAUCCAGAAGAGGUUGAAUGGUGUAUAAAAAAUAUGAGCGAUAUUAUGGAAUUGUUGUUCCGGAAAGAUGUAGGUUCGACGUUUAAUGACAUAUCUGAGAUUAUUCAAUCAGCUUUGAGGACUGUCGUGCAGAGUCAUAUAAAAAUGGAGAAAGAUAAUCCACAUGCGCUUAAUGCCUCAACAACUUAUGGCCAUUGGCAUGGUACAGUGAAUUUAUGGAAUCAGAGUAAUUUAGUCGCUGUGAUGAUCGACAUAUUUAGACAAAUGACCAAUGAGCAUUACAACAAUUACAUAAACAGUUUCUCCACCAGCUUCGACAUUCUCGACUUCCUAAUGGAAAUCCUGGUGGUCUUCAAAGAACUCGUCAGUAAUUCCGUCUUUCCUAAGGAUUGGUGCGAUAUGAUCAUGCUGCAGAAUAGUAUAAUCCUUAAAUCGUUGCGAUUUUUUUCUCAUACUAUCCGAGACUGUUUUUUCCAAAAAUUCGAACACGACGCCUGGAACAAUUUUUUCCAUUGUGCCAUAGCCUUUAUGACCCAAGAAGCCCUUCAGUUGGAUAAUUUCUCGCUGAAUAAAAGGAUUCGCUUAUUGGAUCUUUUCAAGGACAUGAGGGUAGAAAUGGGCUUUGAAAUCAAGUCCAUGUGGUUUAACUUAGGUCAAAAUAAAGUUCAAUUUGUACCAUCCCUAGUAGGCCUCAUUUUAGAAAUGACUCUCAUACCUGAACCGGAACUUCGUCAAGCCACUAUCCAGAUAUUCUUCGACAUGAUGCAAUGUGAGUUCUACUCCUCCAGAUAUGCCAUCGAAAGCUACGGAGACACCAAGCGAGAUUCCUCACAUAUAAAGGCAAACUUUUCAGACUUCGAGAACGAAAUGAUCGUCAAACUGGACGCACUAUUCGAAGGAGGUAAAGGAGACCAUGACUAUAAGAAGAUGUUUCACGAUAUAAUGGUUGAUCUGUGUUCAAAACAUACCACUAUGAACGAGGAGGGGGUUAAAUUUGUUAAGAUCGUUUCGAGGUUGAUGGAGAGUUUGCUAGAAUAUAGGAAUAUUAUUACUGAUGAAAAUAAGGAAAAUACUAUGAGUUGUACAGUUAAUCUAUUGGAUUUUUAUUCAGAAAUAAACAAAAAAGAAAUGUAUAUAAGAUAUUUGAACAAAUUAUAUGAUCUCCAUUUAGACUGUGAUAACUUCACCGAAGCUGCAUAUACACUGGAACUACACACAAAACUCUUGAAUUGGUCGGACGAAUCUUUAAGUUCGUUGUUGAAGGGUGAUAAAAAUAAUGCCAAAACGCACAGACAACUUAAAGAAGAAUUGUAUUAUAGAAUAAUUGAAAAUUAUAGUAAAGGAAAGAUGUGGGAAUGUGCAAUAAAGAAGUGCCAGGAAUUAGCAGAGCAAUACGAACAAGAGACGUUCGACUACGAGCGUCUUAGCGAUCUCCAUACCAGAAUGGCUGUGUUUUAUGAUGACAUAAUGAAGAAAGCUCGGGCUGAGCCUGAGUAUUUUAGAGUCGGGUAUUACGGUAAAGGAUUUCCGCAGUUUCUCAGAAACAAAGUUUUUAUCUACAGGGGCAAGGAGUACGAGAGAUUGGCUGAUUUUAAUGCUAGGAUUUUAAAUGAGUUUCCCAAAGCUGAACUGUUGAAUAAACUGACGCAGCCCGGGGAAGAAAUCAUUGGAUCUGAUAAGCAAUACAUUCAAAUAAAUAAGGUGGACCCCGUUAUGGAUGAGAAAAAACAAAGGUUUUCAGGAAAGCCGAUUUCAGAUCAAAUAGUGAAAUUCUACAGAGUGAACAAUAUACAAAAAUUCACAUUUUCGAGACCGUUUACCAGGAAGGAUUCUCUGAUUGAAAGUACAAAUGAAUUUGCCCAUCUUUGGUUAGAGAGAACAGACUUAGUUACCACGUAUCCUCUUCCUGGAAUCUUGCGAUGGUUUCCUGUAGAACAUACUCAAUUACAUGAAAUUUCCCCAUUAAGAAACGCCAUAGAAACAAUGGAAAGAACCAAUAAAACUCUGAUGAAUUAUGUAAUACUUUACAAUAAAGAUAAAAAUAUGCAGAUAAACCCGCUGAGUUUAACAUUAAAUGGUAUUUUGGAUGCUGCUGUUAUGGGUGGAAUUAAAAAUUACGAAGAUGUAUUUUUUACCUCUAACUACGCAACUCAUCAUCCUGAAGAUAAAAUAUUGAAUGAAAAAUUGAAAGAUUUGAUAGCGGAUCAGAUUCCUCUUUUGGAUCUUUGCGUACAAAUACAUAAGCAGAAGGUUCCUGAAAAUCUUAAACCUUUGCAGAAGAGAUUAGAGGAAUGUUUUGCCCAGAUGAAAGAGGCUGUGGAGGAAAAAUAUGGAAAAAGGGACUGUGAUGUAAAAUUAGAAAAUGAAGUACAAAUGAGACGCCACUAUAGUAUAACUAGUGACAGCAGACUUUCAGAUAUAACUAUAACACCUGAAAAAAAUCACUAUUUGGCGAAUAGCAGAAGCACAUUUGCUUAAAAUAACCCUCUAUUUUAAGAUUACAUUCCUAAUAUUAUUAACAGUUUUUCUAUUAGCUUACAAAUAAUAAUGGUUUAAAAUCUGGGAUUUAGGUUUUUACGUAAAUCCGCUCACAACAGUCACAGCAAGAGCAUAAGUUACUCACCUUCGAAGAGUUUGACAGGUACUCCAAGUCUGGGUGUCAAGAAGUCGCACAAACUUUCAAAGGAGAAGCGUAGGUCCAGUAAGACUGAC
Molecule: unclassified non-coding RNA, 5632 nt
Filed under: Diabrotica virgifera virgifera (western corn rootworm)
Lineage: Eukaryota; Metazoa; Arthropoda; Insecta; Coleoptera; Chrysomelidae
Description: dedicator of cytokinesis protein 1
Source: RNAcentral